AUGUCGGGCCGCGGCAAGGGAGGCAAGGGGCUGGGCAAGGGCGGCGCCAAGCGCCACCGGAAGGUGCUGCGCGACAACAUCCAGGGCAUCACCAAGCCGGCGAUCCGCCGUCUUGCGCGGCGUGGCGGCGUGAAGCGCAUCUCGGGGCUCAUCUACGAGGAGACCCGCGGCGUGCUCAAGAUCUUCCUCGAGAACGUCAUCCGCGACGCCGUCACCUACACCGAGCACGCCCGCCGCAAGACCGUCACCGCCAUGGACGUCGUCUACGCGCUCAAGCGCCAGGGCCGCACCCUCUACGGAUUCGGCGGCUAG
RNAcentral lists this ribosomal RNA (312 nucleotides) under Triticum aestivum (bread wheat). Its description in RNAcentral is "partial small subunit ribosomal RNA". Lineage: Eukaryota; Viridiplantae; Streptophyta; Magnoliopsida; Poales; Poaceae. The record is from RNAcentral.